This 465-nucleotide small RNA is filed under the name Vigna angularis var. angularis. RNAcentral describes it as "Non-protein coding transcript". The record is from RNAcentral. Lineage: Eukaryota; Viridiplantae; Streptophyta; Magnoliopsida; Fabales; Fabaceae.
UGAUAAGUUUGUUCUUGAUUUGGAAAGAUAAGGAAAGAUGGAUUUGCGGAUGUUGGGAUUGAGUUAUCCUCGCUCAAGUGAGGGGUUUUGAAGAUGUUGCGUUCCCUGAGCUGUGCGUGAGGUGGUGGUGGUUGUGGCGGGUCCUUGGUGGUGCAGGUGGUGGCUUGCGAUGGUGCCCGUUGGCAUGUGCGAUUGCAUAAUCGUUGUUUGGCUCAGUGGAUGUGCUCCUUCACUUGGACACGUUGAAAAUUUCAGCAACCCCAUUUGCUGAAAGGGUGGCGAGUCCAUUGAGAAACCAGGAAAAGUUUGUUUGGUCCGAGAAGGAGUCCAUGAAUGGCUUUGGGAUGGGUUGGAACCCAUUUCAUGACUUGGGGAACCGAUUCCCAUGAUGAGUUCGAACCGAUUUGAUGACUUGGGGAAUUGAUUAUCAUGUGCAUAUAAUUGUUUUUUUAAAGCUAUGAGGUA